Cornus florida is the source of this 1115-nucleotide long non-coding RNA. RefSeq lists it as uncharacterized. Lineage: Eukaryota; Viridiplantae; Streptophyta; Magnoliopsida; Cornales; Cornaceae. The transcript has 2 exons. The record is from RefSeq and is a predicted model, not a curated record.
UCAUGGUAUAUUAAGGUUAAAACUUUAUUAGGUUUGGUUUUGAUCAGAGAUGAUCUACUUAUUGGUUUUCAGAGGUCUGGUAGAGAGAACUUGCUCGUAAGGUUUAACCCACGAUUUAUUUUUCAGGUUAUUAGAAGUUCCUAUCUCGAGGUUGAGGAUCCGCAGUUGGGAGACUAUCGUUCAUCUAUUCAUCUUGUUUACUAUUAAGUAGUGAUGAGCGCUGAAAAGUACUUAUCCCCAAAAUAAGCUAACUCAGCCAAAUAAGAGCAGAAAUGAAGCAAUUCUGGGAUGAAUCAAAGAAAGGAGCAUAGUAAAGCAAAAGGAAGCAAAUGGUGGAAUUUCAGCAACUUCGAUCGAUCUCAAGAAAAGUUUGAUCGAUCCAACUUCCAUCGAUCUCAGCACUUCAAGAUAGAUUCAAGCCAUGAUGUCAUUUUCAGAGAUCAUAAAAGUUCGAUCGAUCCAACAUCAUUCUCUAAUCGAUCAAACUUUCUUAUCCUUAUCCAUAUGCCGGAUCUUAUCCUGCUGUACCACCCUACCAACCACUUUUAUCCUUUUCCCAAAAACAUCUUCAAAAUAUCUCAGAUUUGUUUUUAUCCAAAAAGACGCCGCCAUUGAGGAUCGAUCCAACUUUAAUUCGAUAGAUCUCAGCCAUGUUCGAUCGAUCUCACCACAAGUUCGAUCGAUCGAACUUCCUAAAUCCCAAGAAAAAUCCAAAUUCCAGCUCAUUAAAAGUUGUCUCAUAUCCAAUCAUUAGAGGAUUAUUGGUGUACGAGCCCAGCUCAUUUGGGGUGAUUUUUGACCUACCUAUAUAAGGAAUAUGAGCCACUUUUACACAUAUACACAUACUUAGAGAAGAUAAUACUUAGUGAGGAAGCAAAGGAAAGGAGGAGGCUAGAGACACCAUUAGAGACUCUUCAUCAACCAAGGAGCAGAUUUCUUCCAUGGAGCUUGCCCUUGAGGGUUGGAGGACAUCAUCCAUGAGUGGCUAGACAUCCUCUUGGGGCUAGAGUUAGCCCUAAGCAUGCUUUCUACUUCUUGAUAUAUGUAUUUUUGAGGGGAUUUGUAUUGUGAUUCAUGUUUUGACACUUUUAUAUAUAUAGAUCUUGUUUAUUCAA